Long non-coding RNA from Gopherus flavomarginatus (Mexican gopher tortoise), 1585 nucleotides. RefSeq lists it as uncharacterized. The transcript has 4 exons. The record is from RefSeq and is a predicted model, not a curated record. Lineage: Eukaryota; Metazoa; Chordata; Testudines; Testudinidae.
UGUUUUUUAUUUGUCCUUCACGUAGUUCUUUUGCUUAGUUCCUUAGUUUCAAUUUUACAUGCGCACAGUUUGGGUUCAGCAUCGGAAUGUGGAGCUGUUCAGAUAAUAACCAGUUUUGAGAAACAAAGAGUAACGGCAUGGUAGAAAAUUAUGCCCGAAGUACAAACACGUACAGAGAAUACCCAUGGCGGAGGUGAGCUCGGGUGUAUUUACAGGACAGGGCAGGAGAGGUUAGCAGCUCAUGGCCAUUGGGGCAGGCUGCACUCUUGUAUGACCGCUAAGCAGCCACCAGGUUAAAGGUCCUCCCAGCUGAAAGAGCCCCCCACCACCAGGAAGCCAGUUUGAUGAGGUCAGUCCCAGGUACGCUCAUGAUGGGGAGCUGCUGAUUCUGGGCCUGAUUCUGUCUCAUCUAGUGCCUGAUCCUGAGAGGCGCUGAGCCCUGCUGCCUCCCAUUGGCCUCAGAGACAGUGCUGGUGCUCAGUGCUCUCUGGGUCAGGCCCUCAGGAAGGUUUUACUUAGGUGAUUUUCCAUGGUGUGGACAAGAGCAGGAUGUGGCCCGGGGUUAAUGCUUGGGUGCUCUAAGAACAGGCCAUUGGCUCUGACUGGGGUGGGCGCUUUGUCCUCCUUUGCUCUUCCUCUCCGGCACCUUUGCCCUCCCACCUCCCUGCAGAUCAGACUCAGCCCCCAAACAAGCCCUCGCUCUGCAAGGUGGGGCAACAUCACUAGCCCCAUUGUACAGAGGAGGGGUCUCAGCACGGGCCAUGGGGUGACCCUCCCAAAGCCACACAGCAAGUCAGCAGCAAAGGUGGACCCACUCAGCCCCCUGUUCUAAUCACCAGCCACAUUCACUCCCAGAGCCUGGACUAGAACCAAUGUCCUGAGUCCCACUCUCCCAUUCCAACCACUAGAUGUCCUGACUCCCAGUCCCAGUGCUCUAACCCCCAGCUCCAGAUAUCACGCCUCUUCCAGACAAGGGGGUGGCACCCAGGGGUCCUGACUCCCAGUCCUAGUGCUCUAACCCCCGGCUCCAGAUAUCACGCCUCUUCCAGACAAGGGGGUGGCACCCAGGGAUCCUGACUCCCAGGCCCAGUGCUCUAACCCCCGGCUCCAGGUACCACGCCUCUCCCAGACAAGGCGGUGGCACCCAGGGGUCCUGACUCCCAGUCCCAGUGCUCUAACCCCCAGCUCCAGGUACCACGCCUCUCCCAGACAAAGGGGUGGCACCCAGGGGCCCUGACUCCCAGUCCCAGUGCUCUAACCCCCGGCUCCAGGUACCACGCCACUCCCAGACAAGGGGGUGGCACCCAGGGGUCCUGACUCCCAGGCCCAGUGCUCUAACCCCCGGCUCCAGGUACCACGCCUCUCCCAGACAAAGGGGUGGCACCCAGGGGCCCUGACUCCCAGUCCCAGUGCUCUAACCCCCAGCUCCAGGUACCACGCCUCUCCCAGACAAAGGGGUGGCACCCAGGGGCCCUGACUCCCAGUCCCAGUGCUCUAACCCCCGGCUCCAGAUACCACGCCUCUCCCAGACAAGGGGGUGGCACCCAGGGGUCCUGACUUCCAGUCCUAGUGCUCUAACCCCCGG